Molecule: long non-coding RNA, 562 nt
Filed under: Coturnix japonica (Japanese quail)
Lineage: Eukaryota; Metazoa; Chordata; Aves; Galliformes; Phasianidae
Description: lncRNA (ENSCJPG00005003667.1)
Source: RNAcentral
CUUGAAUUCAUGUGUGUCCUGAGACAUCAGAGGGAAAUAUCUGAGGUGGGGGAAGGAACUGAGGAGAGACAGGAAUGCUGUGCAGGUGUGAGGAGAUUGUUAUGUUCAACUACUCUGAGGCAGAGAAACUACUGAGAAGGGUGAGAUCUGGGUUUAAUAACAUCCGUGGACAACCCAUGCAAAAUAAGAAACAGUAGAAAGGAGCGAACUUUGAGGAGCAAAAUAUGUGGGUGAAUUUCCUCUUGUAUAUUUGGAGAAGCGCAGGACUUGGAAUUCUCUGAAACAUAAACUGGCUCAUCUUCCUUCCCCAGAGAACUUGUUUCUGUUUUCUUCCAGAGUACUUACGGAGUAUGGAGGAAGGCAGUGGGCUGUCAUAAGGAGGACAUUUGCAUCAAGGUGUUUCAGUGUACCUGAAAAGAACCAUAGGAAGCGAACUGAUGCCAGAGUCCUUCUCCAGGAAGAAUUGCAGAUGCUUUCAUCCCAUAAAGCAUGUUGCCUGGACAAGUCUUCAGGAGUUGUUUGCCUGCUGGCCAUGACAACACAUGUAGCUGGUCUACACUGA